This 791-nucleotide ribosomal RNA is filed under the name uncultured bacterium. RNAcentral describes it as "bacterial SSU rRNA". It matches the Rfam family "Bacterial small subunit ribosomal RNA", at positions 10 to 796 of the family's 1533-position model. The record is from RNAcentral.
AGUUUGAUCAUGGCUCAGAUUGAACGCUGGCGGCAGGCCUAACACAUGCAAGUCGAGCGGAUGAAGGGAGCUUGCUCCUGGAUUCAGCGGCGGACGGGUGAGUAAUGCCUAGGAAUCUGCCUGGUAGUGGGGGAUAACGUCCGGAAACGGGCGCUAAUACCGCAUACGUCCUGAGGGAGAAAGUGGGGGAUCUUCGGACCUCACGCUAUCGGAUGAGCCUAGGUCGGAUUAGCUAGUUGGUGGGGUAAAGGCCUACCAAGGCGACGAUCCGUAACUGGUCUGAGAGGAUGAUCAGUCACACUGGAACUGAGACACGGUCCAGACUCCCACGGGAGGCAGCAGUGGGGAAUAUUGGACAAUGGGCGAAAGCCUGAUCCAGCCAUGCCGCGUGUGUGAAGAAGGUCUUCGGAUUGUAAAGCACUUUAAGUUGGGAGGAAGGGCAGUAAGUUAAUACCUUGCUGUUUUGACGUUACCAACAGAAUAAGCACCGGCUAACUUCGUGCCAGCAGCCGCGGUAAUACGAAGGGUGCAAGCGUUAAUCGGAAUUACUGGGCGUAAAGCGCGCGUAGGUGGUUCAGCAAGUUGGAUGUGAAAUCCCCGGGCUCAACCUGGGAACUGCAUCCAAAACUACUGAGCUAGAGUACGGUAGAGGGUGGUGGAAUUUCCUGUGUAGCGGUGAAAUGCGUAGAUAUAGGAAGGAACACCAGUGGCGAAGGCGACCACCUGGACUGAUACUGACACUGAGGUGCGAAAGCGUGGGGAGCAAACAGGAUUAGAUACCCUGGUAGUCC